AUCGCUUCUCGGCCUUUUGGCUAAGAUCAAGUGUAGUAUCUGUUCUGAUCAGUUUAAUAUCUGAUACGUCCUCUAUCCGAGGACAAUAUAUUAGGUAUUGAUAAAUGGAAGCGCUUACCAGCCCAGCUUUGCCAGCCCUAAUAAGAAGCAUGCUAAAGCCACAGCAGCUACUGUGGUUCUUCAAGCAAUGGGC
RNAcentral lists this small nuclear RNA (193 nucleotides) under Moschus moschiferus (Siberian musk deer). RNAcentral describes it as "U2 spliceosomal RNA (ENSMMSG00000000441.1)". The stretch from base 1 to 116 matches the Rfam family "U2 spliceosomal RNA". From Rfam's summary of the family: U2 is a small nuclear RNA (snRNA) component of the spliceosome (involved in pre-mRNA splicing). Lineage: Eukaryota; Metazoa; Chordata; Mammalia; Artiodactyla; Moschidae. The record is from RNAcentral.